This 584-nucleotide long non-coding RNA is filed under the name Equus caballus (horse). RNAcentral describes it as "lncRNA (ENSECAG00000052584.1)". The record is from RNAcentral. Lineage: Eukaryota; Metazoa; Chordata; Mammalia; Perissodactyla; Equidae.
AGGUGUCCUUUAUAAAGUCACAUAGCUGAUGAAUGGAAGAGGCAGGAAUCAAACCUACAUCUCUCUGGCUCCAAAGCCCUUACUGUUUGCUGAGGAUGGCAGUCAAGAAAUGAUCUACUAGAGUCAAGGUCAUAUAGCAUAUAGAUGAUCCAGAAUCAGCACAAUUUGGGGAGAAGAAAAAGAAUCAGCUCAUCUGGCUCCUUCUACUCACUCUGAUCCUCCUGCCUCCCUCUUAUAAAGACCCUUGUGAUGGCGUGAGGAGUGCCAGAGGCCAGGCAGCCCAGCUUUGUGAAUGCUCCGUGUGCCGCAGCCUGAAGGCACCCAGCCUGUGCCCUACCUGCUGCCAAGAUGCCCCAGGGGAAGAACUGUGGAGGAUUUUUCCCAGAUUUUCACUGUGAGAACCUGAAAGUAAAACCCAUAGAAGUGUGGGGAUCCCCUUACACUGCUACAUAAGAUUGUGACUUCCUUCUUACCAGAGACUCUCUCUUUUGCUUUCUUUGAUGAAGCAAGCUACCAUGCUGGAGACUCCCAUCUGGCAAAGUACUGUAGGUGACCUCUAGCCCUUAAGGAACUGAAUCCUGACA